CUGUCCGGGCACAUGUGCUUGGUGGCGCAGCUAACGCAUUAAGUUAUCCGCCUGGGGAGUACGGUCGCAAGAUUAAAACUCAAAGGAAUGACGGGGGCCUGCACAAGCGGUGGAGCAUGUGGUUUAAUUCGAAGCAACGCGCAGAACCUUACCAGCCUUUGACAUCCUAGGACGGUUUCUGGAGACAGAUUCUUUCCCUUCGGGGACCUAGUGACAGGUGCUGCAUGGCCGUCGUCAGCUCGUGUCGUGAGAUGUUGGGUUAAGUCCCGCAACGAGCGCAACCCUCGUCCUUAGUUGCCAUCAUUUAGUUGGGCACUUUAAGGAAACUGCCGGUGAUAAGCCGGAGGAAGGUGGGGAUGACGUCAAGUCCUCAUGGCCCUUACAGGCUGGGCUACACACGUGCUACAAUGGCAUCUACAGUGAGCAGCGAUCCCGCGAGGGUUAGCUAAUCUCCAAAAGAUGUCUCAGUUCGGAUUGUUCUCUGCAACU
RNAcentral lists this ribosomal RNA (489 nucleotides) under Qipengyuania vulgaris. RNAcentral's name for it is "bacterial SSU rRNA". It matches the Rfam family "Bacterial small subunit ribosomal RNA", at positions 820 to 1312 of the family's 1533-position model. Lineage: Bacteria; Pseudomonadati; Pseudomonadota; Alphaproteobacteria; Sphingomonadales; Erythrobacteraceae. The record is from RNAcentral.